Molecule: ribosomal RNA, 454 nt
Filed under: uncultured Streptococcus sp.
Lineage: Bacteria; Bacillati; Bacillota; Bacilli; Lactobacillales; Streptococcaceae
Description: bacterial SSU rRNA
Rfam family: Bacterial small subunit ribosomal RNA
Source: RNAcentral
GCACAAGCGGUGGAUUAUGUUGUUUAAUUCGACGCAACGCGAAGAACCUUACCAGGCCUUGACAUACUCGGCAAAGCUCUAGAGAUAGAGUGGAGGUUAUCCGGGAUACAGGUGGUGCAUGGUUGUCGUCAGCUCGUGUCGUGAGAUGUUGGGUUAAGUCCCGCAACGAGCGCAACCCCUAUUGUUAGUUGCCAUCAUUCAGUUGGGCACUCUAGCGAGACUGCCGGUAAUAAACCGGAGGAAGGUGGGGAUGACGUCAAAUCAUCAUGCCCCUUAUGACCUGGACUACACACGUGCUACAAUGGUUGGUACAACGAGUUGCGAGUCGGUGACGGCGAGCUAAUCUCUUAAGGCCAAUCUCAGUUCGGAUUGUAGGCUGCAACUCGCCUACAUGAAGUCGGAAUCGCUAGUAAUCGCGGAUCAGCACGCCGCGGUGAAUACGUUCCCGGGCCUU